Molecule: long non-coding RNA, 589 nt
Organism: Bactrocera latifrons
Lineage: Eukaryota; Metazoa; Arthropoda; Insecta; Diptera; Tephritidae
Exons: 3
Source: RefSeq, a predicted model, not a curated record
CUAAAAAAGGACACAGCAAAUGCACAAAACAAUGUGUUAACAACCAUUCAUUCAGAAAACAACAGAAUAUGAUAAACAAAUAAUAGUUGACUGAGCAAAACCACUAAAUUAGCUGAAACUUCAAGCUUUGCGUGGGUGAAAGACCUGACUGCCUAGGUAGCUGACAAUCAAGUUCGUUGUUGUUUAUUUGAAAAUCACAUAAAGCUUUCGAAGAAUCUCAAGCGUGGGCUGUAGCUCCGGCGAAAUUUGCAUAAAUCGCAUAAAAAUCAAUGACGGGCAUCAAAUGAAAAAUGAAAUUGAUCUCUUUACAGUCAGUACUGAUGUGGGUGCACACACAUGCAUAAUCUUUGGCUGGAGAAAGAAUUCAUUAAAAAUUUAAAUGUUAUGCGUCUUUGGCUCCUGUGCACAAGUGUAGCAGAUCUAUUCAUAAAAGUAAUAAAAUUUGCAGAGGGGAGACUCUGGCAGUGACGAAUUAUUGAAAAGUAAGGCGGAAGAAAGAACUGAAAUUGAAGUUAAAUGAUUUUGUGAGAUGAAUGAGAUGUCAUUAGGUUUAAAUUUAGUAAAAAGCGCUACAAUUUUGAUGCAGUAA